CUUUUUAUACUGAGCGUAUUGGAACGUUAUCGAUAAGAAGAGAGCGUCUAGGCGAACAAUGUUCUUAAAGUUUGACCUCAAUCAGGUAGGAGUACCCGCUGAACUUAAGCAUAUCAAUAAGCGGAGGAAAAGAAACCAACCGGGAUUGCCUUAGUAACGGCGAGUGAAGCGGCAAAAGCUCAAAUUUGAAAUCUGGUACCUUCGGUGCCCGAGUUGUAAUUUGGAGAGGGCAACUUUGGGGCCGUUCCUUGUCUAUGUUCCUUGGAACAGGACGUCAUAGAGGGUGAGAAUCCCGUGUGGCGAGGAGUGCGGUUCUUUGUAAAGUGCCUUCGAAGAGUCGAGUUGUUUGGGAAUGCAGCUCUAAGUGGGUGGUAAAUUCCAUCUAAAGCUAAAUAUUGGCGAGAGACCGAUAGCGAACAAGUACAGUGAUGGAAAGAUGAAAAGAACUUUGAAAAGAGAGUGAAAAAGUACGUGAAAUUGUUGAAAGGGAAGGGCAUUUGAUCAGACAUGGUGUUUUGUGCCCUCUGCUCCUUGUGGGUAGGGGAAUCUCGCAUUUCACUGGGCCAGCAUCAGUUUUGGUGGCAGGAUAAAUCCAUAGGAAUGUAGCUUGCCUCGGUAAGUAUUAUAGCCUGUGGGAAUACUGCCAGCUGGGACUGAGGACUGCGACGUAAGUCAAGGAUGCUGGCAUAAUGGUUAUAUGCCGCCCGUCUUGAAACACGGACCAAGGAGUCUAACGUCUAUGCGAGUGUUUGGGUGUAAAACCCAUACGCGUAAUGAAAGUGAACGUAGGUU
This 792-nucleotide ribosomal RNA is filed under the name Saccharomyces cerevisiae (brewer's yeast). RNAcentral describes it as "LSU rRNA". It matches the Rfam family "Eukaryotic large subunit ribosomal RNA", at positions 1 to 737 of the family's 3401-position model. The record is from RNAcentral. Lineage: Eukaryota; Fungi; Ascomycota; Saccharomycetes; Saccharomycetales; Saccharomycetaceae.